UCCUGGCCUCUAGGGUGAACGCUGGCGGCGUGCCUAAGACAUGCAAGUCGAGCGGGGUAGGUUUAUGCCUGCCCAGCGGCGGACGGGUGAGUAGCGCGUGGGUGACCUACCCGGAAGAGGCGGACAACCUGGGGAAACCCAGGCUAAUCCGCCAUGUGGUCCUGUCCUGUGGGGUAGGACUAAAGGGUGGAUAGCCCGCUUCCGGAUGGGCCCGCGUCCCAUCAGCUAGUUGGUGGGGUAAAGGCCCACCAAGGCGACGACGGGUAGCCGGUCUGAGAGGAUGGCCGGCCACAGGGGCACUGAGACACGGGCCCCACUCCUACGGGAGGCAGCAGUUAGGAAUCUUCCGCAAUGGACGGAAGUCUGACGGAGCGACGCCGCUUGGAGGAGGAAGCCCUUCGGGGUGUAAACUCCUGAACUGGGGACGAAAGCCCCGUGUAGGGGGAUGACGGUACCCAGGUAAUAGCGCCGGCCAACUCCGUGCCAGCAGCCGCGGUAAUACGGAGGGCGCGAGCGUUACCCGGAUUUACUGGGCGUAAAGGGCGUGUAGGCUGCUUGGGGCGUCCCAUGUGAAAGGCCACGGCUCAACCGUGGAGGAGCGUGGGAUACGCUCAUGCUAGAGGGUGGGAGAGGGUGGUGGUAUUCCCGGAGUAGCGGUGAAAUGCGCAGAUACCGGGAGGAACGCCGAUGGCGACGCAGCCACCUGGUUCACUUCUGACGCUGAGCGCGAAAGCGUGGGGAGCAAACCGGAUUAAAUACCCGGGUAGUCCACGCCCUAAACGAUGCCCGCUAGGUCUUUGGGGUUUAACUGGGGGACCGAAGCCAACGCGUUAAGCGCGCCCGCUGGGGAGUACGCCCGCAAGCUGAACCUCAAGGAUUGACGGGGGCCCCCCAAGCGGGUGGAGCAUGGGUUUUAAUUCGAGCACCGAAAACUUACCAGCGUGACAUGCUAGGACUAGUAGCUGGGGGUCCGGAGGACUAACAGGGCUGAUGCCGUCUCACUCUGUCUGAAGUUGCUUAUUCGCACAAAGGCACCCCUGCUUUAUGCCAAGGAUUUCGGCAUCCU
RNAcentral lists this ribosomal RNA (1066 nucleotides) under uncultured bacterium. RNAcentral's name for it is "bacterial SSU rRNA". It matches the Rfam family "Bacterial small subunit ribosomal RNA", at positions 17 to 1141 of the family's 1533-position model. The record is from RNAcentral.